UUUCGCCUUGGGAGGGAAGUGCUGGCGAUGGGCGCGGCGGAGCCGCUCAUGUGCGCGCCUCCAGGCGGAGCCAGGGCGCGGGAAGGCGGCGCCUCGGGAGAACAAUGAUCGUAAAACGCGGGGGUGGAGCUCAGGGCUGCGUCCCUCCCCGCCAAGGCAGUUCCGAGUUGCACAAGACAACUGAGCCCUUGGCCGUAGAAACCGUGAUCCUACCUCGAGGGCUAGUGAGGCCCGGCGGCUCCAAGUCACACACCUGACUCGGGGAGCCCGGGGGCAUCCGACGCCCCACAAAAUGGAGACUCGCGAGUCCGCCUGGCAGGAGCUCUCGCGUCUGCCCUUCCUUCCACUCCCCAGGCCAUGUCCAUGGCCUCACUCUAAAACGUUGCUUGCUAAAUGUAAGAAGAAAAGAACUACUUGGAUGUUGCUGAAGUGGGAGGCGCCGUUUAAGCUUUGAACAAAGGUUUGAAAAUGUGUGGAACAGCUUUCUGAGGCGCUCUGCAGCUUGUCACGCCCUAGAAACUUAGCCCAAGGGUCAUCUUUUCGUGUCUGGAAGCUCCCGCUGGAAAAAUUGCAGUGUUUCGCUUUGGGAGGGCAACAGAGCUAGCUGAGGAGCCAGACCUCUUCCACCAUCCAGGGACACAGCCUUCAGGAACCCUAACUCCCAGAAGCUCAUUUCAGAUGAACCCAUGGGGUUUCCACACAGACUAAAUGUGAAAUGUGAGAAGUCAAGAAUACCUCCAAGAUCUUUGCCCUGAAGGAUGAAAGUUGCCACAAACUGAGAUGGAUGACAUUCGGAGCAGGAUGACUUUCAUGAAAGAGGAAGUCAACCAGGAGCCUGUUAACUUCCAGAUUCUGAACAAAAAUUACAGAAAAUCUAUCCCUGAGUUUUUGCACAGUUGUGGGAAAGCAAACUGCAACCUGAGAUGUGAUCUACAUACAGUCUUCCAGAAAAAGAAUUCUUAUUGGUCACUAAUGCUCCAAUUCUCAACAGGUCAAGGAAUGAGGCUUACCUCAUUACUACCAGAAAACUGCAUACACUCCAUACAAUAUGUUUUGUAUGAACACUGGCAACACUAGAUUGGUUUUAAAAAAAAAAAACUGCUGCAGCAAAACUGGAAGCAAAGAACAGAAGAAUGUGAGUAAUAUACUGGAGUUGUUUAUCUUUACUGUUGUUGACACAAAUGCCCUGCCCAAGGGAAGGGAGAGAAAAAGGGACAGUCGCUGGCAAUUUGUCCUGAAACUCACUUGCAGCCAACUGAGAGUUUCCAGCUGCCAAACGUCAGGUAUGUUCACAGUUGAGGGACUAUUUAAUCAUAGCGGCCCAAAACUGGAGAGACCUUGUCUGUGCUUCCCUUCACUCUCCUCAGCUCUGUGUAAGUCACCCUGGCUGUCACAUGGGUGGGGAGCUGCCUUCCCGGUUUCAUUUUUCCUCUACUCCCACCUUCACCCAUUUACUCCUCCAAAGACCUCAGCUCGGUCCUCCCCACCCCAUAAUUCUGUAUUUGACUCCAAGAGAGAUAAGUGAGAUUACCACAAGCUGGUCGGGGAGGAGCUGCCUUCUCCCUUUACCUCACCCCACCCGUAGGCACAGUGCAAUUACCUAUCUGUUUGGCAUGUGUCUUCCCCAUGCUGCUCUUGCCCAUUUCCCACAGACGUCCCAAACUGUGACUCUCUGUCUGUCUGUCUCUCUCUCUCAGGAGAUGCAUUCCCAUAUUACAUAGGCAAUAAGAUAAAGACUACAGAUCUACAUAUUUUGCACCUUUGCAACUCCAUUCUCCCCUCUUCCCUUUGGUUGCCUUCCUUAUCCCCCUACUUAUUGAUUUGUCUGUUGCAGUCAUCCCUCCAUACCCUUGGAGGACUGGCUUCAAGAUUUCAGAAAAGAAACUGCCUUCUGUCCCAUUCUGUGGUUGUAAGGCUAAACAAUACUCCUUGAUAUGGCCUCCGCUGAGCCCUUGCAUGGCCCCCCCUUACCUGCCCUCCAAGGUAGUCAGGGUAAGAGAGAAGCACAGUAUGCAUGCCUCCUCAUAGGACAAAAUAUUCCAGAUUGGUUACCCAGAGGGGCAACUACAAUGCUCUAAGCACGUGUCUAUGGUAUUAAUUCCAUUUUACCUGACUAAAUUUGUAAUUGUGAUCGCAUUGACAACUUGUUACAUCAUGGAACUCACAGGUUUAUCUCCUGCUGUCAGCUCUCUCUUCAUGACCUCGUGCUCAUCUAUCUGCUUCUCUUCCCAGCCCCCACUGGAGCAGAUCUUGCUGGAGUGGCCAGACUUCUCUAUUUCACUGACGGAAUCAGCAUGUUCAGUCUUCACCGCCCUUGGCCCUCCUUGCAGCAGCAUGUGACUGUUGCUUCUCCUGUCUCCUUUGUACACACUUUUCCUGACUUUUAAGGAUAUCCUUAUCCUUCUUUCUCUGUCUGCUUCUUCUCUGUGCCCUCUGAAGCCUUCUUGUUCUUCACUGACCUUUGCACGUUGAAGGUAACUGACUCUCAGUCCUUUGAUUCCUCAUUCCACUGACCAUUCUCUUCCUACACUGUUAACUACACUGUUAAACUUUGUGCACAUAAGCAUCGAUUUUUUGUAUUCCCAACCCUGGACUGCUCUGAGCUCUAGAACUGGGCUAUUAAAUGAAAGCUGCUAACUACACUUCUUUUUUUCCUGUGAUGAGGAUAGACCGCAAAUCUUCCUUCAUGUCAAGGCCAUUUUCUGCCUCUGAGCUAUUGACUACUUAAAAUGUAACUAGUAGAACAGAGACAUUAAAUUAUUUUUAAAGAUU
This is a long non-coding RNA of Mesocricetus auratus (golden hamster), 2772 nucleotides long. RefSeq lists it as uncharacterized. Lineage: Eukaryota; Metazoa; Chordata; Mammalia; Rodentia; Cricetidae. The transcript has 3 exons. The record is from RefSeq and is a predicted model, not a curated record.